GGUGGAGCGAUUUGUCUGGUUUAUUCCGAUAACGAACGAGACUCUGGCCUACUAAAUAGAGACAGAAUUAUUACUGUUCUGGAUUCUUCUUAGAGGGACAAGUGGUUUUCAGCCACACGAAAUUGAGCAAUAACAGGUCUGUGAUGCCCUUAGAUGUCCGGGGCUGCACGCGCGCUACACUGAAGGAAUCAGCGUGCUAAAACCAUUGUCGAAAGGCAUUGGUAAACCCAUCAAAAUCCUACGUGAUUGGGAUCGGGAAUUGCAAUUAUUUCCCUUGAACGAGGAAUUCCCAGUAAGUGUGGGUCAUCAGCUCGCGUUGAAUACGUCCCUGCCCUUUGUAC
This 341-nucleotide ribosomal RNA is filed under the name Nematoda environmental sample. Its description in RNAcentral is "SSU rRNA". It matches the Rfam family "Eukaryotic small subunit ribosomal RNA", at positions 1300 to 1665 of the family's 1831-position model. Lineage: Eukaryota; Metazoa; Nematoda. The record is from RNAcentral.